GACAGAGGGGGCAAGCGUUGCUCGGAAUUACUGGGCGUAAAGGGCGCGUAGGCGGGAUGGCAAGUCGGUCGUGAAAUCCCUCGGCUCAACUGAGGAUCGUCGAUCGAUACUGCCGUUCUUGAGGAUUGCAGAGGAGACUGGAAUUCCCGGUGUAGCGGUGAAAUGUGUAGAGAUCGGGAGGAACACCGAUUGCGAAGGCAGCUCGCUGGGACGUUACUGACGCUGAGACGCGAAAGCGUGGGGAGCAAACAGG
RNAcentral lists this ribosomal RNA (253 nucleotides) under uncultured bacterium. Its description in RNAcentral is "partial 16S ribosomal RNA". It matches the Rfam family "Bacterial small subunit ribosomal RNA", at positions 524 to 776 of the family's 1533-position model. The record is from RNAcentral.